RNAcentral lists this ribosomal RNA (465 nucleotides) under uncultured bacterium. RNAcentral describes it as "partial 16S ribosomal RNA". It matches the Rfam family "Bacterial small subunit ribosomal RNA", at positions 338 to 795 of the family's 1533-position model. The record is from RNAcentral.
UCUACGGGAGGCUGCAGUGGGGAAUAUUGCGCAAUGGGCGAAAGCCUGACGCAGCGACGCCGCGUGAGGGAUGAAGGUCUUCGGAUCGUAAAACUCUGUCAGCAGGGAAGAACGGUCACUGUGCUAAUCAGCAGUGAAUUGACGGUACCUGCAAAGGAAGCACCGGCUAACUCCGUGCCAGCAGCCGCGGUAAUACGGAGGAUGCGAGCGUUAAUCGGAAUGACUGGGCGGAAAGCGCUCGUAGGCGGGAUGUCAAGUCAAGGGGGAAAUCCCCGCGCUCAACGUGGGAACUGCCUUUGAAACUGGCAAACUGGAGUGUGUUAGAGGAUAGUGGAAUUCCAGGUGUAGGAGUGAAAUCCGUAGAUAUCUGGAGGAACAUCAGUGGCGAAGGCGACUAUCUGGCACAUAACUGACGCUGAGGAGCGAAAGCGUGGGUAGCAAACAGGAUUAGAUACCCGGGUAGUC